This 320-nucleotide long non-coding RNA is filed under the name Pan troglodytes (chimpanzee). RNAcentral describes it as "long non-coding RNA NONPTRT012062". Lineage: Eukaryota; Metazoa; Chordata; Mammalia; Primates; Hominidae. The record is from RNAcentral.
AGUCACCGGGAGAAAACUGGGCUGACUGUGGGACUGGAACUGGAGAGCAUUUCUGGAUUCAGUCUUCUAAAAGGUGCCUCUUGCAUGGUGGCCUGACAUGUCAACGUGCCCAGGAGUCUGUGACAGGCAGCCAGGUGCCUCAUCCCCACUGCCUGGGGGGCCAGGGCUGGGCUGGGACUCACCAUAUUCUGGAAGUCGCACAAACUCCGAGGGCUCGCUGGGAAGGCUGAUUCCCCAGGGGUUACUGGCACUGACUCUGAACUGAUAAGGACACCCGGGACUAAGGUCUUCGAUGACGAGGUAAGUGUCCAAGGUCGAAG